Molecule: ribosomal RNA, 497 nt
Filed under: uncultured bacterium
Lineage: Bacteria
Description: partial 16S ribosomal RNA
Rfam family: Bacterial small subunit ribosomal RNA
Source: RNAcentral
GAUGAACGCUGGCGGCGUGCCUAAUACAUGCAAGUCGAGCGAACGGACGAGAAGCUUGCUUCUCUGAUGUUAGCGGCGGACGGGUGAGUAACACGUGGAUAACCUACCUAUAAGACUGGGAUAACUUCGGGAAACCGGAGCUAAUACCGGAUAAUAUUUUGAACCGCAUGGUUCAAAAGAGAAAGACGGUCUUGCAGUCACUUAUAGAUGGAUCCGCGCUGCAUUAGCUAGUUGGUAAGGUAACGGCUUACCAAGGCAACGAUGCAUAGCCGACCUGAGAGGGUGAUCGGCCACACUGGAACUGAGACACGGUCCAGACUCCUACGGGAGGCAGCAGUAGGGAAUCUUCCGCAAUGGGCGAAAGCCUGACGGAGCAACGCCGCGUGAGUGAUGAAGGUCUUCGGAUCGUAAAACUCUGUUAUUAGGGAAGAACAUAUGUGUAAGUAACUGUGCACAUCUUGACGGUACCUAAUCAGAAAGCCACGGCUAACUACGUG